GAAGAAGCGACGACAGCACAGUAUCCCUAAGCCGCGUUAGAUCCGUGCAAAGAAAGAACCAGAGGAAAAAAACUCAAGCAAAUCCAAAAAUCAAUCCGCAUAGGGAAAAAGACGAUCUGCGCGGCAGCUCUACCUACAUUUUUACUGUUCUACGGCUCCUUCCAGUGCGAUUUCACCAUAUUUGUGCUGGAUCUAAGGGCGCGAAGCAUUUAAUGGUAAGUUCUGAUCAAUUCGCAGCGGUUCGUGGCAGCAUACGGUGGUCCAGCAGCGAC
This 272-nucleotide long non-coding RNA is filed under the name Carica papaya (papaya). RNAcentral describes it as "long non-coding RNA (CPAP_LNC007485)". The record is from RNAcentral. Lineage: Eukaryota; Viridiplantae; Streptophyta; Magnoliopsida; Brassicales; Caricaceae.